AAUAGAUACCCAGGUAGUCCACGCCGUAAACGAUGGAUGCUAGCUAUUGGGGGGAAUCGACCCCCUCCGAAGCGAAGCUAACGCGUUAAGCAUCCCGCCUGAGUAGUACGAGCGCAAGCUUAAAACUCAAAGGAAUUGACGGGGACCCGCACAAGCGAUAGAGCGUGUGGUUUAAUUCGAUGGUAAACGAAGAACCUUACCAAGGUUUGACAUCCCGGUAGCCGUUCUCCGAAAGGAGAAUUUCAUUUAGUUGGACCGGUGACAGGUGAUGCAUGGCCGUCGUCAGCUCGUGUCGUGAGAUGUUGGGUUAAGUCCCGCAACGAGCGCAACCCUUAUGAUUUAGUUGGAUUUUUCUAAACAGACUGCCCUGGUAACAGGGAGGAAGGAGGGGAUGAUGUCAGGUCAGUAUUUCCCUUACACCUUGGGCGACACACGCGCUACAAUGGCCGGUACAAUGGGCAGCUAAGCCGCGAGGUGGAGCAAAUCCCAUCAAAGCCGGUCCCAGUUCGGAUUGCAGGCUGAAACCCGCCUGCAUGAAGCCGGAAUCGCUAGUAA
Molecule: ribosomal RNA, 555 nt
Filed under: uncultured bacterium
Lineage: Bacteria
Description: bacterial SSU rRNA
Rfam family: Bacterial small subunit ribosomal RNA
Source: RNAcentral